AUCCCGCCUCCGUCGACCCCCCCGCCGUCCAUCCCGCCUCCUUCUACCCCCCCGCAGUCGACCCCGCCGGCGCCAACCCAUCCAGCUACCCCUCCUGGGUCCUCCUCGACAGCAGAGCCUACUUCGCCGACCGCGUCAACGCCACCACCGUGAAGGCCACGACGAGCACGGGCCACGAAUUCAAGGUCACCUUUUGUCUCGCCGACCCGCCCGCCGUCUCCUACUUCUGCGUCCACUGCCCCGAAGGUUGUUACACCACGGAGCCCCGCGUCGUCUCCUCCGCCAAUGAGCUCGUCCUCCUCUGCUUCGCCUUCAGCUCCGGCCCACGGAGCACAGAAAAAGACUCCCAUCUCGAGUACUUCGUCUACAAGGCUGCCUCCGGCGGCAAGCCCACCAUCAGAUCUGUUCCGUGUUUCCCUCGAGCCUACAGGCACUCAUGGCACGCCGCCAUCGUGCCCGGAUAGGGCGACAAUUUCUUGGUGGCUGAUCUUUCCCCGAAUGGGGACCCUGGGCACUACAACCUGCACAUCUUCUCGUCGGAGACAAACGAGUGGAGCACCAAACACGUGCAGCUGCAGAUCGACCCGGAUGUCCUGCCACUGGAGCUGCCAAUCCUAACUGACAAGGUGAUCUUGCUCGGAAGAAGCACGGUAGGAUGGGUCGACCUCUGGCGCGGCAUUGUCGUCUGCAAUUUGCUUGAAAAGGAGCCUGUUCCCCAUUUCAUCCCGCUGCCCAAGGCCGAAUUUGACCUGCAUCGGAAAAGCCAAGCACGGCAAGUGCGGGACGUCAUUGGCUUCACCGAAGGUUACAUCAACUUCAUCGAGAUCGAACACUGUGUCAGAUGGUUCCCCGUUGUCAGAAAGAGCAAUUUGAAGCCGGCCAUGAUUUUUGAUGUUGCAGAUACCAUUGAUGAUGCAGAGCUCCUCAGUCUUGAUGAUAUGGACGACGUUACGGAUGACAAACCUGUGCAGCAUGUACCUGCUGGCUGGAAGAUCCGGACAAUGUUUAGGAGCAUUGAUUGGAACUAUUGGGAAAGUAGUCUCACUCUUCAUGUUGACGACAUAUCAGCCUCCCCACCUGAACCCUCUGUGCUGCAAUCUCAUCUAUGGAAUGAUACAGACAAGAAAUGGACAUUGGGAAAACUGAAGUGUACAAGCUUCCCGACCUUUGGUUUUUAUGGGGGUGAUGUUGUCUACCUCGUGUCUAAGGUGGAGUCUCAGGAUAAUGAUGCAUUGCUUGUUGGUGUUGAUACUCGAAAAAUGAAGCUGGAAUCCAUCAAAGCAUAUGGCUGUGGGAGAUCCAUUUCUUUUGGUCCCAUUCCGGUUGUUCGUUUUAAAAUUGGAAGGAAGCAAGAAGUCAUCGAACCAUCUUGUGGCGGGAGAUCUACUUCUUUUGAUGUCAUUUCAUGUGCAUUCUCAAAAUAUCUGAAUACCGCUCAAGUCCAAGGCAUGGUUUUCUUUUGCUCUGCUUCUGUUGACCUUCAUACACUCAAGCCUUGUAAUGGGGAAGCUGCAGCAGAGUCUGCUCAGAAUGGUGUGCUGAAUUAUCAUCUUUCAUCGAGGGAUACUGUUCCGAACAGUGUGGUCGGCAUCCUCAACCCCAGCAAAACAUGUGGAAUGAGGGUGGCUGCAAUGGGGGUUGGAGUGAAUAUGGUUAUAGCGUGCAGUAGCCAUCCGGUUUGACACAAACUGGGCAGCCAAUGUUGUCUUCAACUUCAACUCGAUUAGUGUCGGUCCCACCACUGGGAUAGAAGCUGUUUUGUGCAGAGAAGCUUCUGUUCGCGAUUAACUCACCUAGCUCUGUGCCAUCAAGUGAAAUGUGUAAGCCGACGACGGCGUCGCUCCUUUGAUGCCUCUAAUGCCAGUGCAGACUCCCUUGGCUCAACCAUGGCCAACAUCAGCACAUGAAGCCAUUUUCAUCUCCUGCACAUCGCGACUUGGUGGAAUGUCAGGGUUGAUGUCCUGGAAUGUCAACAAAGUGCAUGCUUUUGCAUCUCGAUGCUGUGCAGCCAUGUCCACAUACCCGCUACCACCGUAUCUUAUCAUAUCAUAUGGAUGAUGCUUUAAAACAUUUGGUGAAUA
Molecule: RNA transcript, 2081 nt
Organism: Triticum aestivum (bread wheat)
Lineage: Eukaryota; Viridiplantae; Streptophyta; Magnoliopsida; Poales; Poaceae
Exons: 5
Source: RefSeq, a predicted model, not a curated record